UACGUAGGUGGCAAGCGUUACUCGGAAUCACUAGGCGUAAAGCGCAGGUAGGCGGUUUGAUAAGUCUCUUGUGAAAGCUCCCGGCUCAACUGGGAGAGGUCAAGGGAAACUGUCAGGCUAGAGUGUGGCAGAGGAAGCUAGAAUUCCCGGUGUAGCGGUGAAAUGCGUAGAUAUCAGGAGGAACACCGGUGGCGAAGGCGGGUCUCUGGGCCGAUACUGACGCUGAGGAGCGAAAGCGUGGGGAGCGAACGGG
RNAcentral lists this ribosomal RNA (253 nucleotides) under uncultured bacterium. RNAcentral describes it as "partial 16S ribosomal RNA". It matches the Rfam family "Bacterial small subunit ribosomal RNA", at positions 524 to 776 of the family's 1533-position model. The record is from RNAcentral.